Molecule: non-coding RNA, 346 nt
Organism: Prunus mume (Japanese apricot)
Lineage: Eukaryota; Viridiplantae; Streptophyta; Magnoliopsida; Rosales; Rosaceae
Source: RefSeq, a predicted model, not a curated record
CAAGGGUUCUCCUUUGUCCAUUCCAUUUCGCAGAAGAACAAGAAUAUUGCUGGUAUAAACCAAAGCCUCCGCUGUGGCUAGAGAAUUAGAAAAGCAUCUCUGAGUUCUCUCUUCUUCAUUCUCUCCAACACUCACAAGCCUUUGCUCGCUUUCAACCCAAUCACACCAGCGUUUUCAGUUGUGUGAGGACCCCCAAUCGCUACAGAGCCCAGACAACAAGAGCAAACCACUCUGAGCUACCAAAUCCGUGUCAGGCUGAGGUACUCAUAGUGGUGCUCGCUGUGUAAGGUCUGCGGAUCCAAGAGAGAUUCAAGGGAAAGGGCAAUAAACACACAAGCUCAAAGGA